This 503-nucleotide ribosomal RNA is filed under the name uncultured bacterium. RNAcentral's name for it is "partial 16S ribosomal RNA". It matches the Rfam family "Bacterial small subunit ribosomal RNA", at positions 30 to 523 of the family's 1533-position model. The record is from RNAcentral.
AUUGAACGCUGGCGGCAGGCUUAACACAUGCAAGUCGAGCGGGCGAGGUUGCUUCGGUAACUGAGCUAGCGGCGGACGGGUGAGUAAAGCUUAGGAAUCUGCCUAUUAGUGGGGGACAACAUUUCGAAAGGGUUGCUAAUACCGCAUACGUCCUACGGGAGAAAGCAGGGGAUCACUUGUGACCUUGCGCUAAUAGAUGAGCCUAAGUCGGAUUAGCUAGUUGGUGGGGUAAAGGCCUACCAAGGCGACGAUCUGUAGCGGGUCUGAGAGGAUGCUCCGCCACACUGGGACUGAGACACGGACCAGACUCCUACGGGAGGCAGCAGUGGGGAAUAUUGGACAAUGGGGGGAACCCUGAUCCAGCCAUGCCGCGUGUGUGAAGAAGGCCUUUUGGUUGUAAAGCACUUUAAGCGAGGAGGAGGCUACCGAGAUUAAUACUCUUGGAUAGUGGACGUUACUCGCAGAAUAAGCACCGGCUAACUCUGUGCCAGCAGCCGCGGUAA